Molecule: ribosomal RNA, 253 nt
Filed under: uncultured bacterium
Lineage: Bacteria
Description: partial 16S ribosomal RNA
Rfam family: Bacterial small subunit ribosomal RNA
Source: RNAcentral
UACGUAGGGGGCAAGCGUUGUCCGGAAUCAUUGGGCGUAAAGAGCGUGUAGGCGGUCCGGUAAGUCGGCUGUGAAAGUCCAGGGCUCAACCCUGGGAUGCCGGUCGAUACUGCCGGACUAGAGUUCGGAAGAGGCGAGUGGAAUUCCCGGUGUAGCGGUGAAAUGCGCAGAUAUCAGGAAGAACACCGAUGGCGAAGGCAGCUCUCUGGGACGGUACUGACGCUGAGACGCGAAAGCGUGGGGAGCGAACAGG